RNAcentral lists this ribosomal RNA (449 nucleotides) under uncultured bacterium. RNAcentral describes it as "bacterial SSU rRNA". It matches the Rfam family "Bacterial small subunit ribosomal RNA", at positions 329 to 795 of the family's 1533-position model. The record is from RNAcentral.
GACCAGACUCCUACGGGAGGCAGCAGUGGGGAAUAUUGCACAAUGGGGGAAACCCUGAUGCAGCAACGCCGCGUGAGUGAAGAAGUAUUUCGGUAUGUAAAGCUCUAUCAGCAGGGAAGAAGAUGACGGUACCUGAUUAAGAAGCCCCGGCUAACUACGUGCCAGCAGCCGCGGUAAUACGUAGGGGGCAAGCGUUAUCCGGAUUUACUGGGUGUAAAGGGGGCGCAGACGGCGAUGCAAGCCAGGAGUGAAAGCCCGGGGCCCAACCCCGGGACUGCUCUUGGAACUGCGUGGCUGGAGUGCAGGAGGGGCAGGCGGAAUUCCUGGUGUAGCGGUGAAAUGCGUAGAUAUCAGGAGGAACACCGGCGGCGAAGGCGGCCUGCUGGACCGUGACUGACGUUGAGGCUCGAGAGCGUGGGGAGCAAACAGGAUUAGAUACCCUCGUAUCA